RNAcentral lists this transfer RNA (84 nucleotides) under Rhizobium sp. BK609. Its description in RNAcentral is "tRNA-Gly". RNAcentral also lists the same sequence under 2 other names. Lineage: Bacteria; Pseudomonadati; Pseudomonadota; Alphaproteobacteria; Hyphomicrobiales; Rhizobiaceae. The record is from RNAcentral.
GCGCGGUGUCAGAUACUGCAGCGUAAGACAUACUCAACCUUGCCAAGGUUGGGGUCGAGGGUUCGAAUCCCUUCGCCCGCUCCA